GCUAUCUGUAAAUGAUGUCUGAGUGUUGGAGUGUGCACCAGGCUAUCUGUAAAUGAUGUCUGAGUGUUGGAGUGUGACCAGGCUAUCUGUAAAUGAUGUCUGAGUGUUGGAGUGUGCACCAGGCUAUCUGUAAAUGAUGUCUGAGUGUUGGAGUGUGACCAGGCUAUCUGUAAAUGAUGUCUGAGUGUUGGAGUGUGACCAGGCUAUCUGUAAAUGAUGUCUGAGUGUUGGAGUGUGACCAGGCUAUCUGUAAAUGAUGUCUGAGUGUUGGAGUGUGACCAGGCUAUCUGUAAAUGAUGUCUGAGUGUUGGAGUGUGCACCAGGCUAUCUGUAAAUGAUGUCUGAGUGUUGGAGUGUGCACCAGGCUAUCUGUAAAUGAUGUCUGAGUGUUGGAGUGUGCACCAGGCU
Molecule: long non-coding RNA, 408 nt
Organism: Oncorhynchus tshawytscha (Chinook salmon)
Lineage: Eukaryota; Metazoa; Chordata; Actinopteri; Salmoniformes; Salmonidae
Source: Ensembl